GGAAGUGAACCAUCUCAGUACCCGCAGGAAGAGAAAACAACAGUGAUUCCGCUAGUAGCGGCGAGCGAACGCGGAUAUAGCCCAAACCGAUGUGCUUGCACAUCGGGGUUGUAGGGCCUGUCGGGCCGCAAGGCCGACGAGUUACCAACCAGCAGCAUAGUCGAACGGCCUGGAACGGCCGGCCAUAGACGGUGACAGCCCGGUAGGCGAAAUGGUGCUGGCUCGUUGGACAGGUACCUGAGUACCGCGGGACACGAGGAAUUCCGUGGGAACCUGCGAGGACCAUCUCGCAAGGCUAAAUACUCGCUGGCGACCGAUAGUGAACCAGUACCGUGAGGGAAAGGUGAAAAGCACCCCUGUGAGGGGAGUGAAACAGUACCUGAAACCGUAUGCCUACAAGCAGUGGGAGGGCUAUGGUCGUGGUUCGCCACGGUCACGCCUGACCGCGUGCCUUUUGCAUAAUGAGCCGGCUAGUUACUCUCAGUGGCGAGGUUAAGCGAAAGCGAGCCGAGGCGAAAGCGAGUCCGAAAUGGGCGUGCAGUCGCUGGGAGUAGACGCGAAGCGAGGUGAUCUACCCUUGGCCAGGGUGAAGUACAGGUAACACUGUAUGGAGGCCCGAACCAGUGUUGGUUGAAAACAACUUGGAUGAGCUGAGGGUAGGGGUGAAAGGCUAAUCAAACCUCGUGAUUGCCCGUUCUCCUCGAAAUGCCUUUAGGGGCAGCCUCGGGUGGUCGGCGCUGGUGGUAGAGCACUGGAUGGACUAGGGGCCUUACCAGGUUACUGAAUCCAACCAAACUCCGAAUGCCAGCGACACGUAGCCCGGGAGUGAGACGGNGGGGGCUAAGCUUCAUCGUCGAAAGGGAAACAGCCCAGACUACCGGCUAAGGUCCCCAAAUCUGUGCUAAGUGGGAAAGGAUCUGGAGACGCUCGGACAACCAGGAGGUUGGCUUAGAAGCAGCCAUCCUUUAAAGAAAGCGUAAUAGCUCACUGGUCAAGCGGCUCUGGGCCGACAAUUCAACGGGGCUCAAGCACAGUACCGAAGCCGUANACUGGCCGCGCCUGCGGGCGCGACCAUUGGUAGAGGAGCGUUCUCUGCGCAGCGAAGUCAGACCGCGAGGACUGGUGGAGUGCAGAGAAGUGACCCUGCCGGCAUAAGUAGCGAGAAGAGGGGUGAGAAUCCCCUCCGCCGAAAGCCUAAGGUUUCCUGAGCAAGGUUCGUCCGCUCAGGGUCAGUCGGGACCUAACGCGAGGCCGAAAGGCGUAGCGGAUGGACAUCCGGCCAACAUUCCGGAACUACCUGGAACUCGUUAUCACGAUGGGGGGACGCAGGAGGCUAGGCGGGCCUACGAUUGGACGUGUAGGUUGAGGCAUGUAGGGAGAUCCCUUUGGCAAAUCCGGGGGGUCGUCAAUCCUGAGGUGCCGAAGCGAGGCCGCAGGGCCACAAAGCCGUCGAUGCCACGCUGCCAAGAAAAGCCUCUAAGGAGAGUUCCGGGUACCCGUACCGCAAACCGACACAGGUAGGCGAGGAGAGCAUCCUAAGGCGCAAGUGAGAACACCCGUUUAGGAACUCGGCAAAAUAGCCCCGUAACUUCGGAAGAAGGGGUGCUCCGGUAACGUGAGGCGGCUUGCCCGCCGAGCGGGAGGGAGUUGCAGUGAAUUGGCCCAGGCGACUGUUUACUAAAAACACAGGGCUCUGCAAAGUCGAAAACGACGUAUAGGGUCUGACGCCUGCCCGGUGCCGGAAGGUUAAAGGGAGAGGUCAGCCGCAAGGUGAAGCUUCGAACUGAAGCCCCGGUAAACGGCGGCCGUAACUAUAACGGUCCUAAGGUAGCGAAAUUCCUUGUC
RNAcentral lists this ribosomal RNA (1845 nucleotides) under uncultured Acidobacteriota bacterium. RNAcentral's name for it is "bacterial LSU rRNA". It matches the Rfam family "Bacterial large subunit ribosomal RNA", at positions 189 to 1973 of the family's 2925-position model. The record is from RNAcentral. Lineage: Bacteria; Pseudomonadati; Acidobacteriota.